This 2900-nucleotide ribosomal RNA is filed under the name Klebsiella pneumoniae. Its description in RNAcentral is "23S ribosomal RNA". It matches the Rfam family "Bacterial large subunit ribosomal RNA". The record is from RNAcentral. Lineage: Bacteria; Pseudomonadati; Pseudomonadota; Gammaproteobacteria; Enterobacterales; Enterobacteriaceae.
UUAAGCGACUAAGCGUACACGGUGGAUGCCCUGGCAGUCAGAGGCGAUGAAGGACGUGCUAAUCUGCGAAAAGCGUCGGUAAGGUGAUAUGAACCGUUAUAACCGGCGAUGUCCGAAUGGGGAAACCCAGUGCAAUUCGUUGCACUAUCGUUAACUGAAUACAUAGGUUAACGAGGCGAACCGGGGGAACUGAAACAUCUAAGUACCCCGAGGAAAAGAAAUCAACCGAGAUUCCCCCAGUAGCGGCGAGCGAACGGGGAGCAGCCCAGAGUCUGAAUCAGCUUGUGUGUUAGUGGAACGGUCUGGAAAGUCCGACGGUACAGGGUGAUAGUCCCGUACACCAAAAUGCACAGGCUGUGAACUCGAAGAGUAGGGCGGGACACGUGGUAUCCUGUCUGAAUAUGGGGGGACCAUCCUCCAAGGCUAAAUACUCCUGACUGACCGAUAGUGAACCAGUACCGUGAGGGAAAGGCGAAAAGAACCCCGGCGAGGGGAGUGAAAAAGAACCUGAAACCGUGUACGUACAAGCAGUGGGAGCACCUUCGGGUGUGACUGCGUACCUUUUGUAUAAUGGGUCAGCGACUUAUAUUCUGUAGCAAGGUUAACCGUAUAGGGGAGCCGCAGGGAAACCGAGUCUUAACUGGGCGUUAAGUUGCAGGGUAUAGACCCGAAACCCGGUGAUCUAGCCAUGGGCAGGUUGAAGGUUGGGUAACACUAACUGGAGGACCGAACCGACUAAUGUUGAAAAAUUAGCGGAUGACUUGUGGCUGGGGGUGAAAGGCCAAUCAAACCGGGAGAUAGCUGGUUCUCCCCGAAAGCUAUUUAGGUAGCGCCUCGUGAACUCAUCUUCGGGGGUAGAGCACUGUUUCGGCUAGGGGGGUCAUCCCGACUUACCAACCCGAUGCAAACUACGAAUACCGAAGAAUGUUAUCACGGGAGACACACGGCGGGUGCUAACGUCCGUCGUGAAGAGGGAAACAACCCAGACCGCCAGCUAAGGUCCCAAAGUCAUGGUUAAGUGGGAAACGAUGUGGGAAGGCACAGACAGCCAGGAUGUUGGCUUAGAAGCAGCCAUCAUUUAAAGAAAGCGUAAUAGCUCACUGGUCGAGUCGGCCUGCGCGGAAGAUGUAACGGGGCUAAACCAUGCACCGAAGCUGCGGCAGCGACACUAUGUGUUGUUGGGUAGGGGAGCGUUCUGUAAGCCUGCGAAGGUGUGCUGUGAGGCAUGCUGGAGGUAUCAGAAGUGCGAAUGCUGACAUAAGUAACGAUAAAGCGGGUGAAAAGCCCGCUCGCCGGAAGACCAAGGGUUCCUGUCCAACGUUAAUCGGGGCAGGGUGAGUCGACCCCUAAGGCGAGGCCGAAAGGCGUAGUCGAUGGGAAACAGGUUAAUAUUCCUGUACUUGGUGUUACUGCGAAGGGGGGACGGAGAAGGCUAUGUUAGCCGGGCGACGGUUGUCCCGGUUUAAGCAUGUAGGCUGGUUGUCCAGGCAAAUCCGGAUAAUCAAGGCUGAGGUGUGAUGACGAGGCACUACGGUGCUGAAGUAACAAAUGCCCUGCUUCCAGGAAAAGCCUCUAAGCAUCAGGUAACAUCAAAUCGUACCCCAAACCGACACAGGUGGUCAGGUAGAGAAUACCAAGGCGCUUGAGAGAACUCGGGUGAAGGAACUAGGCAAAAUGGUGCCGUAACUUCGGGAGAAGGCACGCUGGUGUGUAGGUGAAGCCCCUGCGGGUGGAGCUGAGACCAGUCGAAGAUACCAGCUGGCUGCAACUGUUUAUUAAAAACACAGCACUGUGCAAACACGAAAGUGGACGUAUACGGUGUGACGCCUGCCCGGUGCCGGAAGGUUAAUUGAUGGGGUUAUCCGUAAGGAGAAGCUCUUGAUCGAAGCCCCGGUAAACGGCGGCCGUAACUAUAACGGUCCUAAGGUAGCGAAAUUCCUUGUCGGGUAAGUUCCGACCUGCACGAAUGGCGUAAUGAUGGCCAGGCUGUCUCCACCCGAGACUCAGUGAAAUUGAACUCGCUGUGAAGAUGCAGUGUACCCGCGGCAAGACGGAAAGACCCCGUGAACCUUUACUAUAGCUUGACACUGAACAUUGAGCCUUGAUGUGUAGGAUAGGUGGGAGGCUUUGAAGCGUGGACGCCAGUCUGCGUGGAGCCAACCUUGAAAUACCACCCUUUAAUGUUUGAUGUUCUAACGUUGGCCCCUUACCGGGGUUGCGGACAGUGUCUGGUGGGUAGUUUGACUGGGGCGGUCUCCUCCCAAAGCGUAACGGAGGAGCACGAAGGUUAGCUAAUCCUGGUCGGACAUCAGGAGGUUAGUGCAAUGGCAUAAGCUAGCUUGACUGCGAGCGUGACGGCGCGAGCAGGUGCGAAAGCAGGUCAUAGUGAUCCGGUGGUUCUGAAUGGAAGGGCCAUCGCUCAACGGAUAAAAGGUACUCCGGGGAUAACAGGCUGAUACCGCCCAAGAGUUCAUAUCGACGGCGGUGUUUGGCACCUCGAUGUCGGCUCAUCACAUCCUGGGGCUGAAGUAGGUCCCAAGGGUAUGGCUGUUCGCCAUUUAAAGUGGUACGCGAGCUGGGUUUAGAACGUCGUGAGACAGUUCGGUCCCUAUCUGCCGUGGGCGCUGGAGAAUUGAGGGGGGCUGCUCCUAGUACGAGAGGACCGGAGUGGACGCAUCACUGGUGUUCGGGUUGUCAUGCCAAUGGCACUGCCCGGUAGCUAAAUGCGGAAGAGAUAAGUGCUGAAAGCAUCUAAGCACGAAACUUGCCCCGAGAUGAGUUCUCCCUGAGACUUUAAGUCUCCUGAAGGAACGUUGAAGACGACGACGUUGAUAGGCCGGGUGUGUAAGCGCAGCGAUGCGUUGAGCUAACCGGUACUAAUGAACCGUGAGGCUUAACCU